GGGGGGGGGGGGGGGGGGGGGGGGGGGGGGGGGGGCGGGCGAGGGCGGCGGGUCGGGUGGCGGACGGGUGGGGUAGGCGUGGGAACCUGCGGUUAGUGUGGGAAUAAAGAGUCGAAAGGGGGGCUAAUACGUGAUAAUGUUUGCGGACCAAAGAUUGAUCGCAUUUGGAUGGGCUCGCGUUGUAGUAGCUAGGUGGUAGGGUAAAAGCCUAACAAGCAGAAUAUCACUAGCUGGUUGGAGAGGAUGAUCGGACACGCUGGAACUGAGACACGGCCCAGACUCCUGCGGGAGGCAGAAGUGGGGAAUAUGGGACAAUGGGCGAAAGCCUGAUCCAGCAAUGCCGCGUGAGUGAUGAAGGCCUUAGGGUUGUAAAGCUCUUGUACCCGGGAUGAUAAUGACAGGACCGGGAGAAUAAGCUCCGGCUAACUCCGUG
This 433-nucleotide ribosomal RNA is filed under the name uncultured bacterium. RNAcentral describes it as "partial 16S ribosomal RNA". It matches the Rfam family "Bacterial small subunit ribosomal RNA", at positions 27 to 507 of the family's 1533-position model. The record is from RNAcentral.